This is a non-coding RNA of Vicugna pacos (alpaca), 2804 nucleotides long. NCBI's taxonomy places the organism in Eukaryota, Metazoa, Chordata, Mammalia, Artiodactyla, Camelidae. The record is from RefSeq and is a predicted model, not a curated record.
GGCCCUGGCUGUGCGCGGCCGCGCAGGUGGCGGCGCUGGCGGCCCUGGCUGCUCGGCAGGCGGAACUUGUAGGAACGCAGGGCUUCUUGGUGUGGCCGGAGCCGAGACCCAGCCGGAGCGAGCAACAGGUUGGUGAAAACCCUGUGUCCUUGGAGAAAGCUGGUUCCCGUUUUCCUGAGGGGGAGCCCAGAGCUUGAAAGGUCGCAGCUGGCACUUCGAGAAGGAAGUGGAGAAUAAAAACGGCGCCUGGAGCAAUAGUAGCAACGUGGAAUGGGACUGGGGAAGCCCCUUGGACAUCCAGCUGCAGAAACAGACACCCCAACGCUAUUUACAAACAGCCCUAUAUAUAUAUAUAUAUAAAAAGAAAACAUGAAUAUUACUAUUCAGUGCAUGCCUUGUUGAGGACGUGGUCCCCUCCCUUUUCUGCACCUUCCGAUGUGAACUUUGAUGCUCUUUCCUGUCUGGGGCACUGGAAGAGAGAUCGUUACUGUGUACCUAGAAAAUCUGCAAAGACUGGUGGGGAUUAGCCUCAGAGGCGACCAACCGCCUGGGAGGGAUGCUGGUGGAGGACGAGGUGAAACUGCAAAAGGCAAAAUAGAAAGAAAAAGUGAGGAGGACUUGGGGCCAAUUCUGUAGGGGCAGUCUGGGAUACCUCCAUUUCUUAAGUCUUGACAAGUCCUAAUCUAUCUCUCUCCCUCCCUAGAUAGAUGGCUAGUCCCACUGUCACAUCAAGACAAAUGGAAUUUUUUUUCCUACCAAUCUGGUGUGUCUGGUGCUUCACCUAAAUUUUGCUGGUGCUAAGUGUGUUCUUGCUGGUGCUGCCAUGGUAUUCUGCGGCCAGACCAGCAAGGCCCGGGAACAAGAGAGAUUUCUAUUUUGCUGUUUUGGAUUCUCUUUUUUUAAGGGAUCAGUCACAAAGUGCCACUUGAGAGUCUUUUCUCUUUCUCUACGUGGGGAUGAAUAUCCAGAGGUGUUUUGGAGCAAACCUUGGGGUCUGGGAGGAAGUGGAGGGGAUGGCACUGAGUGGCUUGCUGGUUACGCGGUGGAAAGCUGACCUCACAUACGACUUGUUUGCAGUCUCCUCCACCCCCACAGAAGUAUCCUGGGAGUUCAGUCCACAGCCUCCCCAACUCCCCAAGGGGAUUUCAGGGCUUAGGUUUUAUAGAUUAAAGAGCCAAGAAAUGGCUACGUUGUGGUCAAGGGUGAUUUAUAAGCAAGGGAGGUUGGGGGAGGGAGAGGGUCAUUUAAAUGAAAUGUACCAGCAUCUCACUGACUGACAGAGGGUCUGAUUUUUUUUUUUUUCAGGAUAAGCUACUAUUUUCAGAAGUUUCUCGAAGGGCUAAAAAAGAAAAAGAUGUGUGCUGGACUGAGACUUGGCUGCAAAGACUCUUCAGGGAGCGAUGAUUAUUUUUUUGCUUUCAUUAAAAAUAAAUCCAACAACAGGUAUUCCUCUGUGCAGGACACACACUGCCUUUUUCAAAACUGAGAUGGUGAGGCACCAGGCUGCAGGUUCAGACAGUCGCUCUUCAAAGCUGGAUUUGCAGAUCACCACCCAGAACCUACGGACAGGGGGUCUGCGGUGCUGGUUAGUGCACACCCUUCCAGUUCUAAGAAGCCAGCAGAGGGAUCAGCCAUUUUAAGGUUGACAUGGGGCUGAAACAGCCAUUCUUCCCCAUGGGCUUUGCUGAAAAUUACCAGGUCCUUUAGAAUGCAGGAGCGUUCAGUGCUGCUGCAAGCUGGGAGCUGUCUUUCUUUCUUUAAAAAAACAAAAAAACAAAAAACCAUGCCUUAUGUUUUCCUAAAUAGCCCUUUAAAGAAAAAUGCAAUCCAGAACUGCUGAAGGUGAGGGCAGCUUCCCCUCUCCUCCAGACAGCCUGGAACUCAGCAGAACAAAAAGGAAAGCUGAUUUUUGGAGAACUUGUUUCCCUUCAGGGCUGGAGCCCUCCCUGCAGUUAACGUUUACAGGGAGACGGUGUGUAGGCAGGGUCGGCAGAGAGCCGCAGGUGGCAUUCCCACCAAGCCAAGAACUUAGAGAAGGCAGAUGAAUUAGAAUGAUACGACGUGCAGACACUAGUCUUUCCCGCUUACCCCAUUUUCUGGGGCCGGGGUUUUCAUUACUGUAGUUGUACGCGAUCACAGCUCUCUUCUGCUCCUUUAAGGCUGCGCCUUCCAGACUGCAGUGGGGACAGCUGACCACCUAGAUGCAGGUUAAAGGUCAGAAGAUCCCUUUUUUGACCCUGAUUAGCUUAUGACAUUUCCUCUAGAGAAUCCAGACUCCAAAUGCUGGGGUUUUGGGCAAUACUGAUUUCAAUGAAGCCACACUGCUGAGAGAACUGGGCACCCAGGACCUUCCUGAUGGAGCUUUACAGCCAAGUCCCUUGUACAUAUUCUCUUGUAUUAUUAGAAACUGUGUAUUUAUCUAAUCCUGGCUUUUUUCUUGCACAUCAUUAAUUUGAGUGCAUUUCUCAACUGCCCCGAUUUUUGACAAGGGGUUGUUUUUAAUGCUUGUUUUUAUAUGAGAUUUGACUUCUUGAUGGACAUUUGUAUUAGGAAAUUGAAGCAUGAUAUAUAUGUAUAUAUUGUCUCCACCGUCUCUCCUAUUGCAUUACUUGAAUUGCAUGAGAUAGUGGGGUGGUGGUUUUUUUAAAAAAAUAUUUCCACAGUGUGCAAAGUGCUGGCACCAUCCCUCCUUCUCUUCCCCCUCCCUUUUCUCUGGCUGCCAAGGAGUCAUUGAUUUUGAUUAGCUUCACUGCAGAGCGUCUGUGAAGAGAGAGAGAGAGGGAGGGAGGCUUUGAAAUAAAUUU